Molecule: ribosomal RNA, 253 nt
Filed under: uncultured bacterium
Lineage: Bacteria
Description: partial 16S ribosomal RNA
Rfam family: Bacterial small subunit ribosomal RNA
Source: RNAcentral
UACGCAGGGGGCUAGCGUUGUUCGGAUUUACUGGGCGUAAAGGGCGCGUAGGCGGAUUUUUAAGUCGGGGGUGAAAUCCCGGCGCUCAACUCCGGAACUGCCUUCGAUACUGAAAGUCUGGAGCACGGUAGAGGUGAGUGGAAUUCCGAGUGUAGAGGUGAAAUUCGUAGAUAUUCGGAGGAACACCAGUGGCGAAGGCGGCUCACUGGACCGUUGCUGACGCUGAGGCGAGAAAGCGUGGGGAGCAAACAGG